RNAcentral lists this unclassified non-coding RNA (5323 nucleotides) under Hevea brasiliensis (rubber tree). The record is from RNAcentral. Lineage: Eukaryota; Viridiplantae; Streptophyta; Magnoliopsida; Malpighiales; Euphorbiaceae.
CUCUCUCUCUCUCUCUCUGUCUGUUUCACUUUGAAUUUAGUUUCUUAUGAAGUCUGGUAGGGAGAGAGAGAUAGAUCGCGAGCUCGAGAUUUGAGGAAGAAAGAGCCAGGCGCUUUCAGUUCAGAUCAGAGUGAAACUUCAGAGAGAAAACUGAAAAAUGACAGCGUUUUAACCGGAGGAAGGAAAGUACUGUCUGUAGUAUCUUAUCUCAGGUGUAUUGCUCAACUGUGCUCACUAACUGUCUCGUGAGUCGUGACACUGACCCCGUAUUUGGAGGUAUUUUUCUAUCAGUUAUACAUGAGUACGUAUGCAUUUAUGUUUUGAGAGAGACAGAGAGAAGGAGGUGGGUAGAAUGGGACACAUGUCCUAGCGAAGUCACAAGCUUCAUGUGUCCAACGGAAAGCUUAAAUGGGAUUUUUCUUGCUUGGUUUUCAAGCAUGGUAGUAGGUCGCCACCACAACCAGAAGUUUUCUGUUAUGACAUUGCAAUUGAUAAUUGUUGAAGGAAGAAGAAGAAAUGUGAUAUGGGGUUUGAUUUAAUAAAGCUCGGACAAAAGAUUAACAGAGGACUUUCCAAUCAUAACUACCCAUGAUUAAACAUAUUUUUUGUUGGUGCCUAUUUUUGGGUUAUAAGGAAUUUUGGAUUGUAAUUUAUUACCCACAAUUUGUGUCUCUCUCCGUUGCAGUUUCGAGUCUAUAUCUUAAUAACUGUCACUGGCUUUCCUUUUAUUUAUUUCGUUUUUGGGGAAGAAUUAUUUUUGGGUGUUGGUUAACAAUGAUGAUGAGCUUGUUGUUGUUGUUGAUAUGACCCAUAAUUAGCGUGUCCAUUGGCUACUUAUCUUUUGUGUUAGUUGGAUGAUACCCUUGAUUAACUUCUUGUUGCAGAUACUGUCGGAGUAGCGAAUUAGCGAUGGACCUACUAUCUUUAAGCCAAAUUCAACAACCUUGCUUAUAACAUCUAACCUGUCUUAUAUUUUAGGAAAGCAAGAGGAAGUGCGAGUAUUUUGACUUCCGCAUUUUGAUUUUCCUUUCUCAGAAGUUGAAAUUAUGACCUUAUUUUUUGUUUAAUUAUUGGUGGGGUUGAAAAGUCCAAACGUGGAGUGUGAGAAAUGGGGUCGAUUGGAGGGGCUGAGCUACCAAAGAUCGAGAAGAUGCAAACAGCAAGUGCCCGUGAAGAGAAGAUUCUUGUUUUGGUGAGGUUGAGGCCCUUGAAUGAGAAGGAGAUUGUGGCAAAUGAAGUUGCUGACUGGGAAUGCAUCAAUGAUACCACCAUCUUGUACCGGAAUACCCUUCGCGAAGGCUCUACAUUUCCAUCUGCCUAUACUUUUGAUAGAGUAUUUCGGGGUGACUGCUCCACAAGGCAAGUGUAUGAGGAAGGAGCCCAGGAAGUUGCUCUUUCAGUUGUCAGUGGUAUUAACUGUAAGUAUAACAUGAGUGUCAUGUUGUGUGUCACACUAUUUACCAAGAAUGUAUAUUCACCUCCUUUUCUUUUUUCCAGCAAGUAUUUUUGCGUAUGGGCAGACAAGCAGUGGAAAGACAUACACCAUGAUGGGGAUAACUGAGUAUACAGUAGCAGAUAUAUUUGACUAUAUACAUAGGGUCACAUAAGUUUCUAAUUUAUUUUGUUUUUAUUCCCUGCUCAGUUUUCCAAUCAUAAGUCUUGUUUGUAAAUAUAGGUAAUGCUGAAAUUCUUGCCAUAAUGUUACUUUUGCAGCAUAAAGAGAGAGCAUUUGUUUUGAAGUUCUCAGCAAUUGAGAUAUACAAUGAAGGUAUUAGAGAUCUCCUUAGCACAGAUUCUACUCCACUUAGAUUGCUAGAUGAUCCAGAGAAAGGGACAGUUGUUGAGAAAGUUACAGAGGAAACACUAAAGAACUGGAGCCAUCUAAAGGAGCUCCUUUCUGUUUGUGAAGCUCAAAGACAGAUUGGGGAGACCGUCCUGAAUGAGAAAAGCUCCAGAUCUCAUCAAAUUCUGAGACUGACAAUUGAAAGUUCUGCACUUGAGUAUUUAGGCAAUGACAAGUCAAGCACCCUUGCAGCUACCGUGAAUUUUGUUGAUCUAGCAGGAAGUGAGCGUGCAUCUCAGUCUUUGUCAGCUGGCAUGAGGUUAAAAGAAGGCUGCCAUAUAAAUCGCAGUUUACUGACAUUGGGGACUGUUAUCCGAAAGCUAAGCAAAGGAAGAAAUGGACAUGUUCCUUUCAGAGAUUCAAAGCUGACUCGCAUAUUACAGUCUUCCUUAGGAGGCAAUGCUAGGACUGCUAUCAUCUGCACUAUAAGCCCUGCACGAACCCAUGUUGAACAAUCUAGAAACACACUCCUGUUUGCAAGUUGUGCUAAGGAAGUGACAACCAAUGCACAUGUCAAUGUGGUUGUGUCUGAUAAAGCAUUGGUAAAGCAACUGCAAAGGGAAUUAGCUAGAUUGGAGAGUGAGUUGAGAAGUACAGGAUCUAAUUCUGGUACAUCAGAUUCCACAGAGUUACUGAGAGAAAAAGAUCUUCAGAUUGAAAAGCUAAUGAGUGAGGUUUCAAAGCUGAAUCAGCAACUAGAAAUUGCUAAUUCUCGGGUUGUGAAUCUACUAAGAGUGGCUGAAGAUGAUGGAUCUUCAACAAUAUCAGCAGAUACAGAUCAUCAUUACCCAAAAUUGAGAGUGCGAAGUUCAUUUAAAUCUGAAAAUUCAGUAUCAUAUUCACUUGCUUCAGAGGAUCCUCGCUUCCUAGAUAUUGGCAUCAGGUCUUUUGAUGCGUCUCAGUGCUCUGCUGUAGACAAUAGUAGCAAUUCUGAUGAGAACUUCAUCCAACUUGUAGACUUUGAAGAGAAUUUUGUUCAAACUCCAGAACUGUCAAUUUGUACUUCUAAUCUUGUUGAUGAUGGUCUACAUGUGGAGGACAGAAAGGAACUGACUCAUGAAAAUCCAGGCAAUUUCGUCAAGGAAGUUCAAUGCAUCACAAUGGAUGAGUCAAGCGCAAACAGACAUCAAAAUUCACAAAUAUCAGAGACUAGCCCGCAGAGAUACACAGAAUCUAAUGUUUCAUCUCCUAAUAUAAACACAGGCACCUCAGGAUUGACAGAGGCUGAGAAUGAAGAUAGACAAGAUCAAGAAUUAGAGUCACCCCAAUUGAAGGAAGAGAAAGAGCUGAAUUGCUUGCUUUCUAAUUUUAUAGUACCAUCACCAGAAAAACCAUCUCCAUGGUUGGUGGAAGAAGGCAUGUCUAGGACUAGAAGUGUGAAGAUGAUCAGGAGUAGAAGUUGUAGAGCAAGACUUAUGAGUAUGCCGGCAUGUUUGUUUGAGAAGGUAGAAUGGAAUGACAGCACACCAUCUAUGAGGUUUGAGAAAGAUUUAAUUGGAAGAUAUGAGGGUUCUCGAAGAAAAUUUUUUGCAAUGAAGCAGGGCCAUGAUGCUGAAGAGUUAUCAAGAAAUGGCUCAUCGACUUCUGUGCGUAGUCCUGCUGUUGAUGAUCAUCAAUUGCAGAAUAUUGAAAAUUCAAUUGGUUGGAGGAGUACUGCCAGUGUCAGUAACUCAGAUGGGGGAAUAAAGUACUUGAUUGAUCAUCCGGUGAGUCUUUGUUUUCUUUUAUCCUGAUUUCUUUUUCUAAUAUCUCAAUACCUUUUUUCUUUCCGCACUGUUUAUCACUUUAUCAUUCAAUUAUGGACUUUAUUAGAAGAUAGUAAUGGGAACAAUUAAGGCCAUAUUUUUUGUUUGUACAUCAUUGACUAUUUAUAACUAUCAAAUCCAGAAGGAAUGCCAAAACUAUUCAGCUAUGUAGGGGGAUGUAUCAUAAAUCUUUUUUUCUUAUUAUUAUCAUUUUUUUUAAUAAAUUCUCUCUGCUUCUUCACUGUCCAUCCAUUUUCCCCUUUGUUGAAUUUGAAGGUGGACCAAUAUCAGAUUGAUUGAUGAGCUCACAGUUCAUUCACUUUAUCUUGAUUGUCAUCAUUGAUAGGAACAAGAAACAAAAUCAGAAGCCAUUGAAUCGACAAAGAAUGUAAAAGAUGUUGGGUUGGAUCCAAUCCAAGAUGACUUAGAUAGUGCUGUGAAGUGGGCUUCAGAAUUUAAGAGGCUCCAAGGGGAGAUUAUUGAACUUUGGGAUACUUGCAGUGUCUCAUUGAUUCACAGGACCUACUUCUUCCUGCUGUUUAAGGGUGAUCCAACAGAUUCUUUCUACAUGGAGAUCGAGCUCAGGAAGCUGUCCUUCCUCAAGAACACAUUUUCCCGGGGUAAUGAAACUCUGGUUGAUGGAAGAAGUCUAAGUCUCACUUCAAGCAAGAGGGCUUUGAAUCAAGAAAGGCAGAUGCUGUGUAGGCAAAUGCAGAAGAGGCUCUGUAGAGAAGAGAGAGAGAACAUUUUCCUGAAGUGGGGUAUUUCAUUGAGUUCAAGCAAUAGAAGGAUGCAGUUGGUCCACAGCCUGUGGACUAAGACAACAGAUACGGACCAUAUUACCGAGAGUGCCACUCUUGUUGCAAAAUUGAUUGGUUUUGAAGGGCAAGAGCAAACGUUGAAGGAAAUGUAUGGGCUUCUCAAUUUUACACCGCAGCACCUAAGCAGAGGGAAAUCUUCUAUUUGGAGACGCACUGUGUUGUCUAUUUUGUAAGUUUUUUGUGGAGUAACAUAGAGUAAAAGUAUCAUAACUAAUCGAUGAUUCAGACAGCACCAAUACACUGAUAAAUGUUCGAGUUAAAGGUAUUUUUCAUGAGAAUUUUCUCAUUCUAACUGUAAUUGUUCGUGAGAGAGCCUGUAAAUCGGUUCAUGGUAGAAAUGGUGUUAUUGCAAGGCUGAUGUUUCCAUUUUCUCCUUAAAAUUUUCUUCUUUUUGGCGUGUAAUCAAGAGGAAAAUAUGUAUAAUGAGAGUGUUAGAUAUGGUUCUGUGUGAACUUAAUAUGGAAGUUUCUUGAUUUUAGUGAUGACAUGUAUAAAUUUAGGAAAUUAUGAAUCUGUAUUGUGUGUAUGCCUUCCUCUCACUCAGGGUGAUUACUGAUUUCUGAAAGCCAUUUUUCUGGUUAUAUUUCUUCAGCAACUUCUCAAUAUGAGCAUCCACUUCAAAAUCGUAUGCAAAUACAAUUCCCCAGUGCGGUACUCGAACUAUUUUUUAUCUUUUCGUUUCGUUUUUAUUCUUUGUUAUUUGUUGAUUCAAGCAAAGAGGCGUCAAGAUUUACUCUCAAUUUUCUACACGAAGAUGAGGACUUUUAUCAUCCCAAUGUUCCUUUUCAUUAGUACAGUUAAAAAGCUUUUUGUAUAGUUUGCAAGAAGGUUGCACCUUUAGGUUGUAAAAUAUUUACUCUUUUUUCUGUUGUUGUUUAAUUUAACAAUUGGAUUUCUUUUAUAAAGAAAAAAAA